RNAcentral lists this unclassified non-coding RNA (293 nucleotides) under Hevea brasiliensis (rubber tree). Lineage: Eukaryota; Viridiplantae; Streptophyta; Magnoliopsida; Malpighiales; Euphorbiaceae. The record is from RNAcentral.
UCUCCAGAGAGUGAAUGAGGACCUAGGCGCCAUGGGAAAAGGUCCUCACAGUAGGUUGGGAAGGUCCCCCUUCUGCACUUGCGGGAACAGGUGGAGGCGGUGGCCCUUCUGGUCGAGGGGGAGAAGGAGCUACUUUUACUUCCCGGACCGGUUGUCCCAAAGGCUAGGAUGAGUCUCCCAGUACUUCUUCUGAAUCUUGCCUCGGCGUCUGUGAUAUUGCAGCGAUCUUCAUUUCCCGCACCUUUCUGGAGAUCUUCCUCUUCCGCUUAUGGCUCUCCUUGGAAGCCUCGCCG